This 305-nucleotide ribosomal RNA is filed under the name uncultured bacterium. Its description in RNAcentral is "bacterial SSU rRNA". It matches the Rfam family "Bacterial small subunit ribosomal RNA", at positions 337 to 639 of the family's 1533-position model. The record is from RNAcentral.
UCCUACGGGACGCAGCAGUGAGGAAUAUUGGUCAAUGGGCGCGAGCCUGAACCAGCCAAGUCGCGUGAGGGAAGACGGUCCUAUGGAUUGUAAACCUCUUUUGCCGGGGAGCAAGCUGAGUCACGUGUGGCUCAGCUGAGAGUACCCGGAGAAAAAGCAUCGGCUAACUCCGUGCCAGCAGCCGCGGUAAUACGGAGGAUGCGAGCGUUAUCCGGAUUUAUUGGGUUUAAAGGGUGCGUAGGCGGACUGUCAAGUCAGCGGUAAAAUUGAGAGGCUCAACCUCUUCCCGCCGUUGAAACUGGUGG